UACGGGGGGGGCAAGCGUUGUUCGGAGUUACUGGGCGUAAAGGGCUCGUAGGUGGCCAACUAAGUCAGACGUGAAAUCCCUCGGCUUAACCGGGGAACUGCGUCUGAUACUGGAUGGCUUGAGUUUGGGAGAGGGACGCGGAAUUCCAGGUGUAGCGGUGAAAUGCGUAGAUACCUGGAGGAACACCGGUGGCGAAGGCGGCGUUCUGGACUGCAACUGACACUGAGGAACGAAAGCCAGGGGAGCAAACGGG
RNAcentral lists this ribosomal RNA (253 nucleotides) under uncultured bacterium. RNAcentral describes it as "partial 16S ribosomal RNA". It matches the Rfam family "Bacterial small subunit ribosomal RNA", at positions 524 to 776 of the family's 1533-position model. The record is from RNAcentral.